RNAcentral lists this ribosomal RNA (239 nucleotides) under Staphylococcus aureus. Its description in RNAcentral is "partial 16S ribosomal RNA". It matches the Rfam family "Bacterial small subunit ribosomal RNA", at positions 1 to 229 of the family's 1533-position model. The record is from RNAcentral. Lineage: Bacteria; Bacillati; Bacillota; Bacilli; Caryophanales; Staphylococcaceae.
UUUAUGGAGAGUUUGAUCCUGGCUCAGGAUGAACGCUGGCGGCGUGCCUAAUACAUGCAAGUCGAGCGAACGGACGAGAAGCUUGCUUCUCUGAUGUUAGCGGCGGACGGGGGAGGAACACGUGGAUAACCUACCUAUAAGACUGGGAUAACUUCGGGAAACCGGAGCUAAUACCGGAUAAUAUUUUGAACCGCAUGGUUCAAAAGUGAAAGACGGUCUUGCUGUCACUUAUAGAUGGA